This 442-nucleotide ribosomal RNA is filed under the name uncultured bacterium. RNAcentral's name for it is "partial 16S ribosomal RNA". It matches the Rfam family "Bacterial small subunit ribosomal RNA", at positions 338 to 795 of the family's 1533-position model. The record is from RNAcentral.
CCUACGGGUGGCAGCAGUGGGGAAUAUUGGGCAAUGGGCGCAAGCCUGACCCAGCAACGCCGCGUGAAGGAAGAUGGCUUUCGGGUUGUAAACUUCUUUUGACAGGGAAGAGUAGAAGACGGUACCUGUCGAAUAAGCCACGGCUAACUACGUGCCAGCAGCAGCGGUGAUACGGAGGUGGCAAGCGUUGUCCGGAUGUACUGGGUGUAAGGGGCGUGUGGCCGGGUUGACAAGUCAGAUGUGAAAGCCUGCGGCUUAACCGGAGAACUGCCUUUGAAACUGUCGAUCUUGAGUACGGGGGAGGCAGACGGAAUGCCUAGUGUAGCGGUGAAAUGCGUAGAUAUUAGGAGGAACACCAGUGGCGAAGGCGGUCCGCUGGACAGCAACUGACGGUGAGGCGCGAAAGCGUGGGGAGCAAACAGGAUUAGAUACCCGUGUAGUC